AAAGGUAUAGCUCAGUGGUAGAAUGCAUGCCUAACAUGCAUGAGACCCUGGGUUCAAUCCCCAAUGCCUCCA
RNAcentral lists this transfer RNA (72 nucleotides) under Camelus ferus (Wild Bactrian camel). It matches the Rfam family "tRNA". From Rfam's summary of the family: Transfer RNA (tRNA) molecules are approximately 80 nucleotides in length. Lineage: Eukaryota; Metazoa; Chordata; Mammalia; Artiodactyla; Camelidae. The record is from Rfam by way of RNAcentral.